Molecule: long non-coding RNA, 612 nt
Filed under: Triticum aestivum (bread wheat)
Lineage: Eukaryota; Viridiplantae; Streptophyta; Magnoliopsida; Poales; Poaceae
Description: long non-coding RNA (TAES_LNC017368)
Source: RNAcentral
GAGGCCUGAAGCGUACGAAGCAUAAGCAGGCUGAUUAGUAAUGGGGAAAAUUAAAGGAAUAUCAGUAGGAGAGAGUGAGGAGACGGGAUCCAAUACCAACAUCCUCCCGUUGUACGAUCUUGUGCGGCAUGAGAAUUGGAGAAGGACAUCGCCUGUACUACUGCUCUAUUAAUCAUCAAAGAAGUUUAGACCGAGGCGAUUGGAGGAGGCCGGUGGCGAUCCUGAAACGGCAUGGAGACGGACGGGUCGAGGCACCAUUGGAGGAGGCCCAGCCGAACCUCGACGGCCGAGCUUGAGUUGCGCGAGUUUGGCCCGGGAGGACAGCGCCGCCCCUCUGCUGUUGCCCUGCCACUGUUGGCUGCUACAGAGUGCGGCGGCAUGGCGAGAUCUAGACGCCGAUGAGAAGCGGUCGACCCAGCAGGUAGCGGCAGCACGGCGAGCUCUUGACGCCGAUGAGAAGCGGUUGACCCAGCAGGUAGCGGCGGCACGGCGAGGUCUUGACGCCGAUGAGAGGCGGCCGAACCAGCAGGUGGUGGCCGCGCGCAGGAUGCCAGGGGCAACGCCGUGGAGAUGGGAUGGACAUCGGCAAAGAACCAUGGAGCCAGGCAGGGG